This 1507-nucleotide long non-coding RNA is filed under the name Equus caballus (horse). RNAcentral's name for it is "lncRNA (ENSECAG00000051785.1)". The record is from RNAcentral. Lineage: Eukaryota; Metazoa; Chordata; Mammalia; Perissodactyla; Equidae.
CCUCACUACCUCUAGGCUUGCUGAAAGGAUUCAAUCACACCAGGCAUUCAGCAAAUAUUUAUUGAGAACCUAUCAUGUGCCAGCCACCAGGACGCACAGUCCGCCUGGGGAGACAUCAAUGAACAAGCAAACAAAUGAGUACGGAAGAAUAAAUUGUGACAAGUGCUGUGAAGGGAAAGGAGCGAUGCCAUGAGCAAGAACAAGGACGACAGGCGAAGAGAAAAUGGAUCACAUGAGACAGCCAGGACCCACUUUCUCUCCCAGGCCAUCCUCUCUCUCUCUAGCACACACACAUGCACACAAGGGCCAGCCCCAGGGAGAAACAAGGACUACAGCCAGCCCUGAAGAUGCCAAAAGAUACGUUGUUUCCAGAUCUGUGCAACAUCUCUCUCGCUGCUUCCUCACCAUAACGCGAAGCUAACGCACACGCACAAACGACACGGUUGUAAAACGCUCGUGAGACAGGCUUACAUGUAAGAUGCGCGCACACAAACAUGCAUUCACGUGUGUCUGUCUCUGCUGAUGAAAUCAGCCAGGUGUUGUCAUGGAGGUGGAGAUUUUCGUCCCAUUUAGUGGAAAGGAAUUCGAGGCCCAGUUACUAACCCAAGGAAGGCUGUGGCCUCGCAGGGGGCACCUGAGAUGCCAGCAGUGGUUCUGUCCUCUGAAGGCACUUUGUUUCUCACCAAGUGACACUUUUUGCCUCUCAGUCUUAGCCCCCCAGCUGAGUGCAGGGACCGUGUCGUGUCCCUCGGUUUCCCCAGGACGGAGCCCCAAGUCUCUCAUACAGUAGGUGCUUGAUCAACGUUGUCCCGUGAACGUCCUCCCAACGCCUAGGAACGGCUUCCUUCCAGCAUGCUCUUGCCCGCCUCCUCCUUAAUUCCAUGCCCCUGCCCAGAAGCCCUGCCCUGUGGCAGCCUCACCUGGAGGCGGAACUCCCAACUCAGACGUCACCCUGAUUCCUCCACGUGGCAAACUUUCCAAACAGAAGAGGAGGGAAGAAACAUGGAUGGCCAACUUAUAACUCAGAGUAAGUACAGUUUUUAAGGCAUUUGCCUUCCAAAACACUGUUAUUUUAUAAAAUAAAGGACUUCCUAACCCCAAAAGGUAGAAAAGAUAUAAGCACAGAAGAGAGGACAGCUCUUUACAGGGACAGUAUCUGGCACAUGAAGACUCCAUCCGUAGUCUCUUCCUUUCACCUUGGGUUCUGCGCCAGCACCAGACGAUGGACCAGUGUCUGGGAGGACAGUGCUCCUGGCUUAUGGGGGAGUGGGGGGGGUAAGCCAGGAAGGCAAGAGGGAAGUGGAGAAGGGGCUCACGGUCAGAGCAGGAGAUGCCAGGUAACGAGGCAGAGGCCAGGACUCGGGAAGAUGCUGGGGGUCCUGACCAGGAAGCCCACCGAGGAGACAGCUGAACUCGAGAGCCAGGAGGCAGCCACGCUUAGGAUAGGGUUUCACCUGGAAACUAGCAGUCUUAGAGAUUCCCUCUGGACACUGAGAUCCUUUCAGCU